GUUUCUUACAUCAGGAGUGAAGUUUUUUAAUUGUGUACCCUGAACCCCCGCUCACCAGAUGGAUAGCUGAAAACAGGCUACUGUACCUCCCGAGUUAGCCUUCUAAAAACCCUGCCUGCAUGGGGGAAGGUAAGGAGGAAAAGGAGAAUGUACAGAGUAUUACCAGAAAUUAGCCAAUACCGACACAAGCCCAAUUAAUUCCCUUUUUGGGUCUCUGUUGGCUGUUCUUGAACGUGAGUAAAUGCUGUGCUGCGAGGGAGACACCGCAUAGUGCGAUCUCAGCACCACUGCCAGGCGAAGGACAGACACUGCAAAUUAAAAUAUUCCUAAUGUAAGUUUUAACGCAACCCCCCCAAAUCUCUAGGAACACGAGCCCUUCAGUAAUAGCCCCAGCACUGACGGAGCAUUGUUGUGGUGGGGGUUGGUUCUGCAUUAUGGACAGAGGAUGGGGAGGGACAAUAAAGCAAGUCACUGGCAGAGAAAACCACAAGGUGGAGUGGAAGACAAUGCCUGCAUUUAUGGUUAACUAUAAGUGAUACACUAGGAAGAUGAUGGUAUUCAGACACACACAAACAAUUUGAUUCAGACAGAUUGGAUACAAGAUUUCAACCAGCAUAAGGAGAACAGGUAAGCAGGCAACAUGGCAAAAGAAAAUGUUAUAGACUUGCUGAAGGAACCCAGCAGGAAAGAGUAUCAGCUCCACAUAGACAAAAAUAACAACUUGGAUCCCAGUGAGAAUGAACAGACCUGAUUUACAAGAUUCUGAUACUUGCUGCUCAUAUUAGCAUCCAGGCGAACUGACAGUGGGAGCAUAUAGAAGUGAAGGUGGUCAGGGAAGGUGGCACUUGAAUAUGCAGGUGAGGUUGCAAGAUGAAUCUGGGGCUUGUCACAUAACUUUAAAGAUAGCAAAUUGACUUGGAUUUA
This 924-nucleotide long non-coding RNA is filed under the name Chrysemys picta bellii (western painted turtle). RNAcentral describes it as "lncRNA (ENSCPBG00000014481.1)". The record is from RNAcentral. Lineage: Eukaryota; Metazoa; Chordata; Testudines; Emydidae.